Molecule: long non-coding RNA, 930 nt
Filed under: Panax ginseng (ginseng)
Lineage: Eukaryota; Viridiplantae; Streptophyta; Magnoliopsida; Apiales; Araliaceae
Description: long non-coding RNA (PGIN_LNC014855)
Source: RNAcentral
UUUUAUACAUUAGCUGUGGCAAAUAUAUAUAUAUUGUUAGGCCACAGGUCUAUAUAUUAGUAACUUAAAAAUGAUUAGUAGGCUUCUAAACUUAAUCCCCCAUGCACAAGGCUGCUGCUUUGCAUUAACAGACAUAAUGUUGCCGUAUAUUUGAUGAAGAAAAUACUCGUCUGUCGUCCUAAAUUAGUUGUGAUAUAUCCUUUCCUUUUUCUAGCUAGCUUAUUAAGUUACACUACCAAUUUCGAUCCCCUUGGUUUUGAGCAGUGUGGUGAGGUGAAGUUAUUCAAGUAAAAGGGACAAAUAUUAAAACUACGUACUACACAUACACUCAUUUCUUAAAGUGCAUCAAGCUCCCAAAGGGACAAAUAUUUUGAGACUGACAGGUAAUUUAUUAAACUGUAAAUAUACACCCUCAGAAUCUUUUGCACGCACGCACGCACGCACAAGUAGAAGUAAAUACUCCAUACAGUGUAGUGAAAUGCUGCCGAAUUAAUUAAUUAACAAGGGUAAUUUUCCUAUUUCUAAACUAGAUUGAUUACAAUUUACAACUUCCUAAAAGUAAAAAACUUGCCGACAAUGCUUUGCUGUAAAUAGAAAAUUACCUGGAGUUGGUCCUCAAGCGAGUUUCAGUGAAAAUGAUUAGCGCUUUCGUUUUAGCAAAUAUAAAAAUAAGAAUUAAUGUAAUUUUCAAUCUGAUAUUAUUCUUGAAUUAAUUAGAUUGGUGAGUGAUUAUAUUAGUUAUAUUCUAAUCCCUUUUGAUUUAAUGUUUUCAUGAUAUUUUGUUGUUGUUUUUGGAUCAGAGACAAGAUGGAUGCAGCCUGCCUGCCUGCCUGCAGCUUCUUAAUUUUGAUUAAUUGAGUAUUUCAUUUUCAUGUAUCCCAUAAGAUUUUUAUAAAAUGAAAAUAACAUUUGGAAUUAGGUACUCUUUCG